RNAcentral lists this ribosomal RNA (77 nucleotides) under Bacillus anthracis (anthrax bacterium). RNAcentral describes it as "partial 16S ribosomal RNA". It matches the Rfam family "Bacterial small subunit ribosomal RNA", at positions 1 to 76 of the family's 1533-position model. Lineage: Bacteria; Bacillati; Bacillota; Bacilli; Caryophanales; Bacillaceae. The record is from RNAcentral.
UUUAUUUGAGAGUUUGAUCCUGGCUCAGGAUGAACGCUGGCGGCGUGCCUAAUACAUGCAAGUCGAGCGAAUGGAUU